UCUUUGUCUCCCUUAGAGGAAGUAAAAGUCGUAACAAGGUCUCCGUUGGUGAACCAGCGGAGGGAUCAUUACCGAGUUCUUGUGACUCCCAAACCCAUUGUGAACCUUACCCGUACGUUGCUUCGGCGGGCUGUCCCGGAUCGUGGCCCUCUACUCCCCCCCUCGGGGGGUUGGCGGGGGCGCGGCCCGGACCCAGGCGCCCGCCGGGGGACCCAAACCCAGAAUCCUGUCACCAGUAUCCCUCUGAGCCGGACAGCAGUGUCCGACAACCAAAAAAAAUGAAUCAAAACUUUCAACAACGGAUCUCUUGGUUCUGGCAUCGAUGAAGAACGCAGCGAAAUGCGAUAAGUAAUGUGAAUUGCAGAAUCCAGUGAAUCAUCGAAUCUUUGAACGCACAUUGCGCCCGCCAGUAUUCUGGCGGGCAUGCCUGUUCGAGCGUCAUUUCACCCCUCAAGCGCCCGCUUGGUGUUGGGGGACGGCCCAGCGCCCCAGGCGUUGGGCCGCCCCUGAAAUGUAUUGGCGGCGGCGUCGGGCCCCCUCUGCGCAGUAACGACAUGCCCCAGCGGCAGGAGAACCUCGCACCGGGAGCGCGGCGCGGCCACUGCCGUGAAACGCCCAACUUCUCAACAGUUGACCUCGAAUCAGGUAGGACUACCCGCUGAACUUAAGCAUAUCAA
Molecule: ribosomal RNA, 677 nt
Filed under: Aschersonia hypocreoidea
Lineage: Eukaryota; Fungi; Ascomycota; Sordariomycetes; Hypocreales; Clavicipitaceae
Description: eukaryotic LSU rRNA
Rfam family: 5.8S ribosomal RNA (bases 288-441)
Source: RNAcentral